GGAAUGUUGGCUGGCUCGAUG
Molecule: microRNA, 21 nt
Filed under: Corchorus olitorius
Lineage: Eukaryota; Viridiplantae; Streptophyta; Magnoliopsida; Malvales; Malvaceae
Description: aly-miR166a-
Source: RNAcentral